This 415-nucleotide long non-coding RNA is filed under the name Androctonus crassicauda. The record is from RNAcentral. Lineage: Eukaryota; Metazoa; Arthropoda; Arachnida; Scorpiones; Buthidae.
ACGAUUUAGUGAAAGAUCUAAGAAAUGUUAUGUGGUGCCAAAUGUCUUCUUGCUUCUUACUUUCAAUCUUUAGUAAGUAUUAAGCGAUGGAACCAUUUUAGAGUCCAUCGCAAAAAUCCACAUCCCUAAUGGGAUCGGCCGGAUAAGUGAAGAAUGAGGAUCGAUGGAUCUGGUCCAGAUCUCUUCUUAAAAAUUUGGAAUAUUGGACUAGAAUCGAUUCGCAUCUAUCGGAUGGAAAGUAAAUAUCAUACUAUCAGUCAGUUGACUUACUACUACAAAAUAUUAUAUAUUUGGCAUUAUGUGUAUGGAAAGAUUUGCAAUUAUAGUGUUAAAAGCCAGCGAAAAUAUUCAGCUCUCUUUUUUUCCCAGCAUAAAACAUAUAAGUAAAUCUAAUGGAUUGUGAAAGAGGCUUGGG